GGGAUCUUCACCCCCACCGGCAGAUUGAUCUCCUCCUUCCCAACACUCUUUUACAUGUUUUAGAGUCACUAUGAUCCAACAGAUCAAGGGCAUUAGCUGCUUGGCACAAGAGGUCCAGAUUUUGUGAUUUGGAGCCAAAUACGUGUUUGUUGUUAGUUUGUAGUUAUGCCUAUGAGGAGCAAAUCAAUAUAUGUGCUUGCUUGCUACUUAUCUCGCCUAAUCUGAUUGUACUGGUUUAUAUUUUCUGUAAAAAUAUACUCAUUAAUCAUAGUCAGUUUGCUAAACAGAAAAAAUCAUAGUUUGUUUCAUCAUUGUAAGAACUAAUAUAUUCAGUACAAAAACUGCUCUUUGUAUUUUCAGUCCACCAUCAUUUUGUACAGAUUCAGGCAAUUGAUUUUCUGUACCAUUAGUGAUUAAUAUGGAGUCAAAUUUUAUUUACCAAGUUUUCUUUUGCAUCUCAGUAUUAAGUAGUUUCCAAACCUGGACAGUUUAAUAUGUCCACUCCCAACAAUUCUUAGUACUACUGCAGACUGAAGAGAAGAAGUGCUGAAAGCAUGAUUGCAUUCACUAUAGCGGGUUCAUUGUGUUACAGAGAAGUGCUUUCCCCAUCAUUUAUGAUGCUCACUGUUUCAUUGUCAAGUUGUGAACUUUUUACCAUCAUUUACUUGUUUGUUCGAAGGAUAAACUUUUGGUUUCUUGAAACUACAAGUAACUUGUGGCAGCUAUUUAGUAAUACCAUUGAUGCUCUGAAAUAAUAAUGUCUGUGAAGUCACAUAAUGUUUUCUAAUGACCUUUGUUGUACAGAUAUUAUCAUCGUAAGAGAAUUAAAAUUUCCUUUUCCUCCUAGCAGAGUAAGUGUUGCUGAUGGAGCUCAUUUGACUUAAUUUCCUACUGAUUUAACCCAUUUUGAGGGGCUUCAGGUAGUGUCUCGCCUACAGACCAAGUUGGAGAAAGUUAAAAGACGCUUUCAGAUGAGAAUGAUCAUGCUUCUGAUCCUUUGUAAUAUAACUACUGUGUCAACAACUUCUCAAUGAUUGUCAUGGAAAAGCAGAUCGAGAGGAGGCGGUCAUUUCAGUAUAGAGAGGUGAUGGCUUGAGAUUCAUCACUGGCCACCUAUGGCAAGUCCAAACUAGAUACAUCAACUGUUAAACCUACAUGGAAAAAGUAACGCUACACAAGAUAUUUGCGAGAUUUUUGUGCUACUGUAUGAGCCAUAUUUGGAAAUCUACAGACUGCAGUAUAGGAGGUGCAAGGAAAAAAUUAUGAAGAAAUCUAUUUGUGAGGUUCGGGUGAUCUGUUAAUGUGCUAAAUCAGAUGGUGCAUUAAUGGUAUUUGAGCAAUUAACAUCUACUCUAUACGUGUAAAUUUUACAUGCUGAAUAUGGAUUUCUUAUUUGGGGAGUUGCAGACCCAAUUAUCAUGGACAUGUAUCUCUAUAAGUUUACCAAAAAAUCAAACAGGUCUGGGCUGGAUGGCAAGUGAAGAUAAAUCAAGUAAAUACUUUUCAUAUUUUCCUUUCAGUCAAUGGGGUGCAUUUAAAUGCAAUACCAGCCCUUGAAAGAUUAAAAGAAAGUGGUCAUCUUGCUGGACAUAUUUGCUUGGGUGCUAUCGUGGGCGAUAUAUCCACUUUUUUCGGUUAAGAUUCAACUAUUCUUUCUCGGGACAAGCAGGAGAUGAUGGGAGUGAAGGCACUCCCGUGUUUCACAUGGAUGUUUUGCGAUCUGGUCGUACUGUGAUUAUUGGUCCUAUGGCAUGCCUCUGCCGUGGUUGCGAGGGAAUGGAAAAGCAAUUAUAUGGCAAUUAUCAAUUUUCGCUUGGUGAUCAUAGGCAAUUCUUUGGUGUUUAGUAGUUUAUGUCAAGAUUGUAGGAUACUUUUUUAUACACCGGAGGAAGAGCUCGCUAAUUUGGUUCACAUCCUCAUAUAUUUUGUUAGCAUUUCAUUUCAGAAUAUCUGAUUUUCGGCAUAUUUUUCUGUAAAGAUUACAAAAAAAUCAGUCAUUUGUUAAAUAUUGUCUUCUAUAGUGCCAAAGGCAAGCUGAGCCAGAAGGCAAGCUUGCUUCUUCACAUGUGUUUUUGUGGUAAAGCUUACAAGCAACUUCUGUCAUGUGUCAUCUAAAGAAUGUUGCCUUCUAUAGUUCAGUGACGUGAAGCACGAUACCAAAGUUGGUUGCUUCUGUUAUUUAAGUGUGUCAUUGUACUCUGGUAUUAGUGGGUUAUUAGUAAUUCCCAAUCUGAGUAUAUAUUUGUUGGACAAGGUUGUAUAAUAUAUGGGCCAGAAUAUUCACUGGUUUGCAAAGCGAACUUAUACAGAACUCAUAUUCAUAUUGCAGAAUUAUAAUGUAGUUUCUUCACAUGGAUGUAGUCCUUCUGCUAGCAUUCAGAUAUAGUAGUCAAUUCUUUUGGCGACGUUGUAGAAUAUUGUAGCUGAACAGGUUUGCAUAUGUUCCUUGCAUAUAUUUUUUCACAUGCAUGAUCUGCAAAGUUCCAUUUUGGUAAAUAGCACCAAAUUUACGGUCGAGUAGUUCAAUCAGUGCGGCUCAUGGCAGUUUUUUCGAGAUCCCUCUUGAAAACUGUUUCUCCUCUUUAUAACUUUGACAGACUCUUUUAGGAUUUGUUGUUGUUUACUAGCACAUUCGAGGGUGUGCGAAGAUGCUCCAUUUGAAGAUAUUGGAUCGGAAAUGCUCUUUAUUUCUUCUCUGUUAUGCUCUUUAUUGGAUCGGAGUAAUUUGAAUUGGUGUUUUGGAAAAUUUCACCUGAUGGGUGCUAGGGAAUGACUUUGCAUUGCUACUUUAGAUGGGAGCUUCACCAGAGAAAUCUGGUUGCUUUUGACACCACCAUAUUUUCUCGCCCCUAGUCUCUAAUAGAUUGGACUAAUAUGUGUGAAUUUCAUACUGGUUCAAGUUAUUAUGUUUAAGACAAUCUCAGUGUACAAGUUGCACCUUAUAUAUAUUAUCUCGCUUUACUUUGCUGCUGAAUUCUUCUGUAGCCUAUUCUCUGAGCUUGAUUAAUACAUCAUUUUACAAAAAAUCUUAUUAAUCCGAAAGAACUUUUGUCUUUUGAACUUCCUUUUGGAAUGACUAGGUCCUGUGUGUUUUCACUUACUGACUGAGACCAAUUAGAAGGUAGAAUAUAUGUUCCUCAAUGACGAUAUUGAUUUCAUUUCCUAGAUGUUGAAACUUCAAACCUCUUAAAGUCGGAGCUGCCUUUGGUUUAAA
Lolium perenne is the source of this 3214-nucleotide long non-coding RNA. RefSeq lists it as uncharacterized. NCBI's taxonomy places the organism in Eukaryota, Viridiplantae, Streptophyta, Magnoliopsida, Poales, Poaceae. The record is from RefSeq and is a predicted model, not a curated record.